RNAcentral lists this non-coding RNA (30 nucleotides) under Homo sapiens (human). Lineage: Eukaryota; Metazoa; Chordata; Mammalia; Primates; Hominidae. The record is from RNAcentral.
UGCCUGUAAUCCCAGCUACUCAGGAGGCUG